RNAcentral lists this ribosomal RNA (433 nucleotides) under uncultured bacterium. RNAcentral describes it as "partial 16S ribosomal RNA". It matches the Rfam family "Bacterial small subunit ribosomal RNA", at positions 29 to 507 of the family's 1533-position model. The record is from RNAcentral.
AGCGUACGCUGGCGGCAGGCCUAACACAUGCAAGUCGAACGAACUCUUCGGAGUUAGUGGCGGACGGGUGAGUAACACGUGGGAACGUGCCUUUAGGUUCGGAAUAACUCAGGGAAACUUGUGCUAAUACCGAAUGUGCCCUUCGGGGGAAAGAUUUAUCGCCUUUAGAGCGGCCCGCGUCUGAUUAGCUAGUUGGUGAGGUAAAGGCUCACCAAGGCGACGAUCAGUAGCUGGUCUGAGAGGAUGAUCAGCCACAUUGGGACUGAGACACGGCCCAAACUCCUACGGGAGGCAGCAGUGGGGAAUCUUGCGCAAUGGGCGAAAGCCUGACGCAGCCAUGCCGCGUGAAUGAUGAAGGUCUUAGGAUUGUAAAAUUCUUUCUCCGGGGACGAUAAUGACGGUACCCGGAGAAGAAGCCCCGGCUAACUUCGUG